RNAcentral lists this ribosomal RNA (662 nucleotides) under uncultured bacterium. RNAcentral describes it as "bacterial SSU rRNA". It matches the Rfam family "Bacterial small subunit ribosomal RNA", at positions 1 to 663 of the family's 1533-position model. The record is from RNAcentral.
GGCUUAGAGUUUGAUCAUGGCUCAGGAUGAACGCUGGCGGCGUGCCUAACACAUGCAAGUCGAACGAAGCACUUUAUUACGAUUUCUUCGGAAUGACGAUUGAGUGACUGAGUGGCGGACGGGUGAGUAACGCGUGGAUAACCUGCCCCAUACAGGGGGAUAACAGUUAGAAAUGACUGCUAAUACCGCAUAAGCGCACAGUAUCGCAUGAUACGGUGUGAAAAACUCCGGUGGUAUGGGAUGGAUCCGCGUCUGAUUAGCCAGUUGGCGGGGUAGAGGCCCACCAAAGCGACGAUCAGUAGCCGACCUGAGAGGGUGACCGGCCACAUUGGGACUGAGACACGGCCCAAACUCCUACGGGAGGCAGCAGUGGGGAAUAUUGCACAAUGGGGGAAACCCUGAUGCAGCGACGCCGCGUGAGCGAAGAAGUAUUUCGGUAUGUAAAGCUCUAUCAGCAGGGAAGAAGAAUGACGGUACCUGACUAAGAAGCUCCGGCUAAAUACGUGCCAGCAGCCGCGGUAAUACGUAUGGAGCAAGCGUUAUCCGGAUUUACUGGGUGUAAAGGGAGCGUAGGCGGUGCUAUAAGUCUGAUGUGAAAGCCCGGGGCUCAACCGCGGGACUGCAUUGGAAACUGUAGGACUGGAGUGUCGGAGGGGUAAGUG